UACGUAGGGGGCUAGCGUUGUUCGGAAUCACUGGGCGUAAAGCGCACGUAGGCGGACUUUCAAGUCAGGGGUGAAAUCCCGGGGCUCAACCUCGGAAUUGCCUUUGAUACUGUAAGUCUCGAGUCCGGAAGAGGUGGGUGGAAUUCCUAGUGUAGAGGUGAAAUUCGUAGAUAUUAGGAAGAACACCAGUGGCGAAGGCGGCUCACUGGACCGGUAUUGACGCUGAGGUGCGAAAGCGUGGGGAGCAAACAGG
Molecule: ribosomal RNA, 253 nt
Filed under: uncultured bacterium
Lineage: Bacteria
Description: partial 16S ribosomal RNA
Rfam family: Bacterial small subunit ribosomal RNA
Source: RNAcentral